RNAcentral lists this long non-coding RNA (953 nucleotides) under Hordeum vulgare. Its description in RNAcentral is "long non-coding RNA (HVUL_LNC010861)". The record is from RNAcentral. Lineage: Eukaryota; Viridiplantae; Streptophyta; Magnoliopsida; Poales; Poaceae.
GCAGAACUGCAUCUUUGAGCAAUUUUACCACCCAUAAACUGGUUUUGUUACUGGUAUCUCUAGCUCCUGGAUAUCUCAUCUGAGCGGGUGCCUCCUGUUGCUAAUAAAUCAGCUGCCCCCUGUUAACUGAAUUGUCUCUCUAGCUAAUUUUCUGUUUCUUUCAAGAGAGUUGUUUUUCUGUUAAGAUACUACAACCAGGAGCAGAUAUGUCAAACCAUUUGAUGUGCAUUCAAGUACCUCCUCAAAUAAAUAAAUAAACUUGCUGGGACUCGCGCAUUUGCGUGGAUUUCCUAUAUAUUGUUACGUUUGUGAUACAGCUUAAAAGUGUUGUGCUAUUACCUAAAUUACUUAUGGAACUUUAAUUUUUUAUGGUCUUCUCUCACAGUUGUUUGCCCAUACAUGCACUACUAUUCAAUUUAAUUAUGCAACACUGGAUUAGUGGUAUUGUUUUUUGAAUGAAUUAUGUACCCUCAUUUGUUAUUAUGUUGCUGGUAAGGACUUUCCUGUGUGACAAGGGAAGGUUGAUGGAAUAUUGUUUGUCAUGCAAAAGUAUGAAAUUUCAAACUAAUUUGUACUCCCUCUAUAAAGAAGUAUAAGAGCGUUUAGAUCACUAAUAGUGAUCUAAACAUUCUUAUAUUUCUUUACGCAGGGAGUAGCUUCUUGCACACCUCGUCCUUUAGUGUCGACCACUUCACCAAUAUAUUUUUCAGAAAAUUUGGGUGUGUUUGGUAGGUCGUAUAUAGAUCAACAAUUGUAUAUCGAAGGAAGAAAAUGAGUUGUUUGCUUACUGGGUUCAUUGUUUGGUCCGCAUCGCAUAGGCCUCGAAGCACCUUCCAGCCAGGCCCGCUAGGAAUGUUGGAAUAGGCAGUUUCUUUAGAGUCUGGCCCGUGCGCUAGGAAUGUUGGAAUCGCAGUUUCUUAGAGUCUGGCCCGCACGCUAGGAAUGUUGGAGUC